This is a non-coding RNA of Fundulus heteroclitus (mummichog), 1684 nucleotides long. Lineage: Eukaryota; Metazoa; Chordata; Actinopteri; Cyprinodontiformes; Fundulidae. The record is from Ensembl.
AACCCAACAGCUCGCCUCCAAGAUCUAAAUUCAAUAAUCCAUAUUUAUAACCCCGAAUAUUCUGAUUUAAUUAACUAAAUCAUUCUUCCUCCUUAGUAAGUGUGACAGAACAGGAAAUAUGUGAGCGCCAUAGAAAAAGUACCGUAAGGGAACGCUGAAAGAGAAGUGAAAUAACCCAGUCAAGUACAGAAAAGCAGAGACUAGUUCUCGUACCUUUUGCAUCAUGAUUUAGCAAGUUUAUUCAAGCAAAAAGCAUUUUAGUUUGUUAUCCCGAAACUAGACGAGCUACUCCAGGACAGCCUAUUUAUAGGGCACACCCGUCUCUGUGGCAAAAGAGUGGGAGGAUCUUUGAGUAGAGGUGACAAACCUACCGAGCCUAGUUAUAGCUGGUUGCCUGGGAAUUAAAUAGAAGUUUAGCCUCUUGUCUUCUUAUGCCAAAUAUGGACACCCAAACCUCAGGUUUUGAGAAUACAUUGAGAGUUAGUCGGAAGGGGGACAGCCCUUCUGAAUAAAGAAACAACUUUUUUAACUGGAUAUUAAUCAUAAAUAUAUAAAGUUUAUGUCUAGGUGGGCCUAAAAGCAGCCACCCUAAAAGAUAGCGUUAAAGCUCAAACAUUGUUUAAACUAAUUAUUCCGAUAAAUUAUUAUAAUCCGUUUAAAAUACCAGGCCCUCCUAUCCUGCGAUAGGAAAGAUUAUGCUAAUAUGAGUAAUAAGAGAAUACAUUUCUCUCCCUGCAUAACUGUAAAUCGGAACGGACAAACCACCGAAAAUUAACGGCCCCAACCCAAGAGGGUUAUAGAUUUAAAAUAAAAAACAAGAAGUGCCUCUAUUUAAUUACCGUUGAACCUACACUGGAAUGCAAACCCGGAAAGACUAAAAGGGGAAGAAGGAACUCGGCAAAUAAUUAAAGCCUCGCCUGUUUACCAAAAACAUCGCCUCUUGAAUUUUACAUAUAAGAGGUCCUGCCUGCCCUGUGAUAUUAUUUAACGGCCGCGGUAUCUUGACCGUGCAAAGGUAGCGCAAUCACUUGUCUUUUAAAUGAAGACCUGUAUGAAUGGCUAAACGAGGGCUUAACUGUCUCCUUCCCUAAGUCAAUGAAAUUGAUUUCCCCGUGCAGAAGCGGGGAUGAAUACAUAAGACGAGAAGACCCUAUGGAGCUUUAGACGCAAGGGCAAAUCAUGUUAAUAAUACUAAAUUAAAUAGUUGAAACAAAUUGAAUCCUGCCACAAUGUCUUUGGUUGGGGUGACCACGGGGAAACAUCAAACCCCCGCGCGGAAUAAAAGUAAUAUCUUUUAAAACCGAGAGCUACCACUCUAAGUAACAGAAUAUCUGACCUUAAUGACCCGGCAAAGCCGAUCAACGAACCGAGUUACCCUAGGGAUAACAGCGCAAUCCCCUUUUAGAGUCCCUAUCGACAAGGGGGUUUACGACCUCGAUGUUGGAUCAGGACAUCCUAAUGGUGCAGCCGCUAUUUAGGGUUCGUUUGUUCAACGAUUAAAGUCCUACGUGAUCUGAGUUCAGACCGGAGUAAUCCAGGUCAGUUUCUAUCUAUGAAAUGUUUUCUUCCAGUACGAAAGGACCGAAGAAAAGGGGCCAAUUCUUCAAGUACGCCUCACCCUUAUCUAAUGAAACCAACUAAAAUAGAUAAAAGGGUAUAUUUCUACAGCUAAAGAUAAUAGCGU